This 846-nucleotide ribosomal RNA is filed under the name Paenibacillus jilunlii. RNAcentral describes it as "bacterial LSU rRNA". It matches the Rfam family "Bacterial large subunit ribosomal RNA", at positions 394 to 1242 of the family's 2925-position model. Lineage: Bacteria; Bacillati; Bacillota; Bacilli; Caryophanales; Paenibacillaceae. The record is from RNAcentral.
CUCCGAGACGGAUCCCGAGUAGUGCGGGGCACGUGAAACCCCGUAUGAAUCCGGCAGGACCAUCUGCCAAGGCUAAAUACUACCUGGCGACCGAUAGUGAAACAGUACCGUGAGGGAAAGGUGAAAAGCACCCCGGAAGGGGAGUGAAAUAGAACCUGAAACCGUGUGCUUACAAAAAGUCAGAGCCCGAUCUAUGGGUGAUGGCGUGCCUUUUGUAGAAUGAACCGGCGAGUUACGUUUAACAUGCAAGGUUAAGGUGAGAAGCCGGAGCCGCAGCGAAAGCGAGUCUGAAUAGGGCGACUGAGUAUGUGGACGUAGACCCGAAACCGUGUGAUCUACCCCUGUCCAGGGUGAAGGUGCGGUAACACGCACUGGAGGCCCGAACCCACGUACGUUGAAAAGUGCGGGGAUGAGGUGGGGGUAGCGGAGAAAUUCCAAUCGAACUCGGAGAUAGCUGGUUCUCCCCGAAAUAGCUUUAGGGCUAGCCUCGGUGAAUGGAGUCGUGGAGGUAGAGCACUGAUUGGGUGCGGGGCCCGCAAGGGUUACCAAGCUCAGUCAAACUCCGAAUGCCAUGGACUUCUUGCCGGGAGUCAGACAGUGAGUGCUAAGAUCCAUUGUCAAAAGGGAAACAGCCCAGACCAUCAGCUAAGGUCCCCAAGUGUGUGUUAAGUGGGAAAGGAUGUGGAGUUGCACAGACAACCAGGAUGUUGGCUUAGAAGCAGCCACCAUUGAAAGAGUGCGUAAUAGCUCACUGGUCGAGUGACUCUGCGCCGAAAAUGUAACGGGGCUAAACACACCACCGAAGCUAUGGCUUGAUGCUUUGCAUCAGGGGUAGGGGAGCGUUGU